CAGUAGCCGCGGUAAUACGAAGGGGGCUAGCGUUGUUCGGAAUUACUGGGCGUAAAGCGCACGUAGGCGGAUCGAUCAGUCAGGGGUGAAAUCCCAGGGCUCAACCCUGGAACUGCCUUUGAUACUGUCGAUCUGGAGUAUGGAAGAGGUGAGUGGAAUUCCGAGUGUAGAGGUGAAAUUCGUAGAUAUUCGGAGGAACACCAGUGGCGAAGGCGGCUCACUGGUCCAUUACUGACGCUGAGGUGCGAAAGCGUGGGGAGCAAACAGGAUUAGAUACCCCUGUAGUCCCUGUCUCUUAUAC
This 301-nucleotide ribosomal RNA is filed under the name uncultured bacterium. Its description in RNAcentral is "partial 16S ribosomal RNA". It matches the Rfam family "Bacterial small subunit ribosomal RNA", at positions 509 to 807 of the family's 1533-position model. The record is from RNAcentral.